UACGGAGGGUGCAAGCGUUGUCCGGAUUUAUUGGGUUUAAAGGGUGCGUAGGCAGGUUAUUAAGUCAGUGGUGAAAGGCUGCGGCUCAACCGCAGGAGUGCCAUUGAUACUUGUAGUCUUGAGUACAGUAGAGGUAGGCGGAAUUUAUGGUGUAGCGGUGAAAUGCAUAGAUACCAUAAAGAACAUCGAUAGCGUAGGCAGCUUACUAUGCUGUAACUGACGCUGAGGCACGAAAGCGUGGGGAUCGAACAGG
RNAcentral lists this ribosomal RNA (253 nucleotides) under uncultured bacterium. RNAcentral's name for it is "partial 16S ribosomal RNA". It matches the Rfam family "Bacterial small subunit ribosomal RNA", at positions 524 to 776 of the family's 1533-position model. The record is from RNAcentral.